GAUGAACGCUGGCGGCGUGCCUAAUACAUGCAAGUCGAGCGAACAGACGAGGAGCUUGCUCCUCUGACGUUAGCGGCGGACGGGUGAGUAACACGUGGAUAACCUACCUAUAAGACUGGGAUAACUUCGGGAAACCGGAGCUAAUACCGGAUAAUAUAUUGAACCGCAUGGUUCAAUAGUGAAAGACGGUUUUGCUGUCACUUAUGGAUGGAUCCGCGCCGCAUUAGCUAGUUGGUAAGGUAACGGCUUACCAAGGCAACGAUGCGUAGCCGACCUGAGAGGGUGAUCGGCCACACUGGAACUGGGACACGGUCCAGACUCCUACGGGAGGCAGCAGUAGGGAAUCUUCCGCAAUGGGCGAAAGCCUGACGGAGCAACGCCGCGUGAGUGAUGAAGGUCUUCGGAUCGUAAAACUCUGUUAUUAGGGAAGAACAAAUGUGUAAGUAACUAUGCACGUCUUGACGGUACCUAAUCAGAAAGCCACGGCUAACUACGUG
Molecule: ribosomal RNA, 497 nt
Filed under: uncultured bacterium
Lineage: Bacteria
Description: partial 16S ribosomal RNA
Rfam family: Bacterial small subunit ribosomal RNA
Source: RNAcentral